Molecule: small nuclear RNA, 107 nt
Filed under: Dasypus novemcinctus (nine-banded armadillo)
Lineage: Eukaryota; Metazoa; Chordata; Mammalia; Cingulata; Dasypodidae
Source: RNAcentral
GUGUUCACUGUGGCAGUACAUAUACUAAAAUUGGAAUGAUACAGAGAGGAUUAGCAUGGUCCCUUUGCAAGGCUGACACACAAAUUCAUGAAGCAUUCUGUGUUUUC